GUGAGAUGUCUGUCUACCAUAUAUUAUGUCAUACAAUAAACAAAGGUUAGGAUUAAGAUCUAAAGUGUGAUAUAAAUUAAUUGUAAGUUGCUCACUGGCACUAAAAGCCCAGAGGAAAACAUGCCUGGUAGUGCUUUAUUUCACAUGCACAUGUAUGUGCAUUAAAAUGAAAAGAAAUAAACCAAUAAUAUCAUAUCUUUUACCAGUUAUCAAUUCAAAAGAAAUGACAUUAUAAAUGCUCCCUUCAUUUCUGUCUGUCUAGCUCGGUGUGGCUGUGCUCUCAAACAUCUCUCUCUGUUUUGUUUUCUUUUUUUGUUUUUUUUUUUUACCUCACUUUACCCACGUCCUAAGCAGUCGAGUCACAGAAAAAACAAAUCUUAUUGGUUAUAUGUAUUAUAGAUUAGCAGAAAAUUGGCUGCUGCAUUUCUGAUAUCCUUAAUUAACAAAUUUUGAUGUUACCUUCUCCCCUCUUUGGUCCUCCUCCUUCUCGAGCCAUUUUCUCCUUCAGCUAUUUGAAACUAUGAUAGCAGCAGUGAUGACACACCUGUGCCUCAGUCAGUGUAUGGCUGUGUGCAGAACAGAUAAUGGCAGCGUUACUGUGAGCACCGUGCCUUAGAACUGGACGUAAUAAGGCCCGUGUAUAAUGAAUUGUUGAACACAGUUGAUGCUAGCCUGCCUGCGGGCUGUAUCUCGGAUAUGGCAUGUUAGCACAUGGCUGAACGCUCAUGAGUGCAAAUGCACUUACACAAAUUCUGCUGCAGCCAAGUCUAUCAAGAGCUAUCCGUGCCACACACACUGUCACCUGAGAACAUAAACCAUCAGCACAAUCACAUAACACAAACAAAUAUCUGGUGGGACAAAUGGCUACCGUCAUAGCUGGACUGGCCAUCGGGCAUACCGGGCAUUUGCCCGGUGGGCCGCUGGCGAUUUUUUGUUUUUAUGGGACGAUCGAUUUUUUUUUUUUUUGGAAGGGUAUAAAUAAUGAAAGGUGUUGGAUUGGCCAAUUGGUCAUGAUCGACUCUGGGCUGGACCAAUUACAGCCGAGGAGGUCGGAUGCACCCUCCCCCUUGUUGAGCAAUCUUAUAGAUGAACUAAAGAAAAUGGAGAACAAAAAAAGGAAAGGAGGUGCAGAAAAAAUUAGGGCCAAAAAGAAACAAGCCCUUCAGGCAGACGCUGCCAAAUGUGUAAAAAUAACUGAAUUGUUUGGUGGUAGCUAUGGCAUAGCUUCCACAGAUUUAGCAACAUCAGCAAGUGGUGGAGGCCAGCAGGUGGAUAAGGGAAAGGGGAGGCAAGAGGAGAGACCCGAGGCGGCCGCCGGUCAUAGUGGCAGAGGAACUGAACUUCAGGUAAGAAGUUAUGACCUGCUGUCUAUCUGUGUCAGAUAUAAAC
Long non-coding RNA from Astatotilapia calliptera (eastern happy), 1389 nucleotides. Lineage: Eukaryota; Metazoa; Chordata; Actinopteri; Cichliformes; Cichlidae. The record is from Ensembl.